RNAcentral lists this ribosomal RNA (468 nucleotides) under uncultured bacterium. RNAcentral describes it as "partial 16S ribosomal RNA". It matches the Rfam family "Bacterial small subunit ribosomal RNA", at positions 28 to 507 of the family's 1533-position model. The record is from RNAcentral.
GACGAACGCUGGCGGCGUGCUUAACACAUGCAAGUCGAACGGAAAGGCCCUGCUUUUGUGGGCUGCUCGAGUGGCGAACGGGUGAGUAACACGUGAGUAACCUGCCCUUCACUUUGGGAUAACUUCAGGAAACUGGGGCUAAUACCGGAUAGGAGCUCCUGCUGCAUGGUGGGGGUUGGAAAGUUUCGGCGGUUGGGGAUGGACUCGCGGCUUAUCAGCUUGUUGGUUGGGUAGUGGCUUACCAAGGCUUUGACGGGUAGCCGGCCUGAGAGGGUGACCGGCCACAUUGGGACUGAGAUACGGCCCAGACUCCUACGGGAGGCAGCGGUGGGGAGUAUUGCACAAUGGGCGGAAGCCUGAUGCAGCAACGCCGCGUGCGGGAUGACGGCCUUCGGGUUGUAAACCGCUUUCGCCUGUGACGAAGCGUGAGUGACGGUAAUGGGUGAAGAAGCACCGGCUAACUACGUG